UACGAAGGGGGCUAGCGUUGUUCGGAUUUACUGGGCGUAAAGCGUACGUAGGCGGAUCGUUAAGUCGGGGGUGAAAUCCUGGAGCUCAACUCCAGAACUGCCUUCGAUACUGGCGCUCUUGAGUCCGGAAGAGGUGAGUGGAACUCCUAGUGUAGAGGUGGAAUUCGUAGAUAUUAGGAAGAACACCAGUGGCGAAGGCGGCUCACUGGUCCGGUACUGACGCUGAGGUGCGAAAGCGUGGGGAGCAAACAGG
RNAcentral lists this ribosomal RNA (253 nucleotides) under uncultured bacterium. RNAcentral's name for it is "partial 16S ribosomal RNA". It matches the Rfam family "Bacterial small subunit ribosomal RNA", at positions 524 to 776 of the family's 1533-position model. The record is from RNAcentral.